GAUGAACGCUGACAGAAUGCUUAACACAUGCAAGUCUUUGGCGAAGCUGUGCUUGCACCGCCUAGCCAAGGCGGACGGGUGAGUAACGCGUAAGGAACUUGCCCUGCAGUCAGGGAUAACAGACGGAAACGACUGAUAAGACCUGGUAAAGUCAGGCGGACCCAUGUCCAGCCUGAUGAAAAGAGAUGCUGCAGGAGAGCCUUGCGUCCUAUUAGCUUGUUGGUGGGGUAACGGCCCACCAAGGCGAUGAUAGGUAGCCGGCCUGAGAGGGUGGACGGCCACAAGGGGACUGAGAUACGGCCCUUACUCCUACGGGAGGCAGCAGUGGGGAAUAUUGGACAAUGGGGGCAACCCUGAUCCAGCAAUUCUGUGUGCACGAUGAAGGUUUUCGGAGUGUAAAGUGCUUUCAGCAGGGAAGAAAAAAAUGACGGUACCUGCAGAAGAAGCGACGGCUAAAUACGUG
Molecule: ribosomal RNA, 463 nt
Filed under: uncultured bacterium
Lineage: Bacteria
Description: partial 16S ribosomal RNA
Rfam family: Bacterial small subunit ribosomal RNA
Source: RNAcentral